This 482-nucleotide ribosomal RNA is filed under the name uncultured bacterium. Its description in RNAcentral is "partial 16S ribosomal RNA". It matches the Rfam family "Bacterial small subunit ribosomal RNA", at positions 28 to 507 of the family's 1533-position model. The record is from RNAcentral.
GACGAACGCUGGCGGCGUGCUUAACACAUGCAAGUCGAACGCUGAAGCUCAGCUUUUGUUGGGUGGAUGAGUGGCGAACGGGUGAGUAACACGUGAGUAACCUGCCUCCUUCUUUGGGAUAACGCCCGGAAACGGGUGCUAAUACUGGAUAUUCACUGGUCUUCGCAUGGGGGUUGGUGGAAAGGGUUUUUCUGGUGGGGAUGGGCUCGCGGCCUAUCAGCUUGUUGGUGGGGUGAUGGCCUACCAAGGCUUUGACGGGUAGCCGGCCUGAGAGGGUGACCGGUCACAUUGGGACUGAGAUACGGCCCAGACUCCUACGGGAGGCAGCAGUGGGGAAUAUUGCACAAUGGGCGCAAGCCUGAUGCAGCGACGCCGCGUGAGGGAUGGAGGCCUUCGGGUUGUGAACCUCUUUCGCUCAUGGUCAAGCCGCAACAAUGGUUGUGGUGAGGGUAGUGGGUAAAGAAGCGCCGGCUAACUACGUG